This 520-nucleotide ribosomal RNA is filed under the name Salmonella enterica. Its description in RNAcentral is "partial 23S ribosomal RNA". It matches the Rfam family "Bacterial large subunit ribosomal RNA", at positions 712 to 1230 of the family's 2925-position model. The record is from RNAcentral. Lineage: Bacteria; Pseudomonadati; Pseudomonadota; Gammaproteobacteria; Enterobacterales; Enterobacteriaceae.
GACCCGAAACCCGGUGAUCUAGCCAUGGGCAGGUUGAAGGUUGGGUAACACUAACUGGAGGACCGAACCGACUAAUGUUGAAAAAUUAGCGGAUGACCUGUGGCUGGGGGUGAAAGGCCAAUCAAACCGGGAGAUAGCUGGUUCUCCCCGAAAGCUAUUUAGGUAGCGCCUCGUGAAUUCAUCUCCGGGGGUAGAGCACUGUUUCGGCUAGGGGGCCAUCCCGGCUUACCAACCCGAUGCAAACUGCGAAUACCGGAGAAUGUUAUCACGGGAGACACACGGCGGGUGCUAACGUCCGUCGUGAAGAGGGAAACAACCCAGACCGCCAGCUAAGGUCCCAAAGUCAUGGUUAAGUGGGAAACGAUGUGGGAAGGCCCAGACAGCCAGGAUGUUGGCUUAGAAGCAGCCAUCAUUUAAAGAAAGCGUAAUAGCUCACUGGUCGAGUCGGCCUGCGCGGAAGAUGUAACGGGGCUAAACCAUGCACCGAAGCUGCGGCAGCGACACUGUGUGUUGUUGGGUA